GCCUCCCUGGCUUACUGCUGCUGCUGGUUGCUUCGCCGUCCCCUUCCCCUACAGUGCUAUAUUGCAUCACUGAUCUGCACUGUUUGGUGUGUCUCAUUCCUAGUAUUGUUAUGUUCAACCACAUUGCCAGUGUUCAGAAAUAACACCUACUCACUAUGCAAAUGCAUGCAACAUAAUCUGAAAUUCAUUCAGUUUGACUGUGUGUAAACACUAUAGUGUACAACUAUCAACUUGUUUCACUAUUCAGUUUGUCACCAUUCAACUUUCUUAGUGGGGCAUCUUUCUUGUGAGAGUUUACUUGAUAGUACAAUAUGUUAGAAGAAACUACCAUGUCUCCGAAAUGAAUCAUUGAUCGCUCUUUAUACACUUACAACUCGGUUUCUUUCAUAUAAGUUCUGUUGCCUUUCUUUAGGUUGAGCUACUGCCCUGUUAAUUAUUGUAACAAACAUUAUCAUUUGCCAGUUUGCUCUGUGUUGAGAACUGACCAAUAAGUUUUGUUUGCCAAUUAGCUUUCUCUGUGCAUGCUGUUAAUCCCCAUUUUACUAAUUUCUGAAUCAAACAUUAUUAUUUCUGUCCUCAACAAGUCGCGGCGCCAUGUUCUCUUUUUGUUCAGUUAGCUCUGUCAAAUAUAAUCAACUUGCCUCUGUUCCAUUUUGCUAUUUGUACUUAGGUAGAAAAUGCUAAAUUCUGUACAUGUACAUGUAAGUCUGAAGCUAUAUUGGUUGCUUGUUUCUUAAUUUUUUUCUUCUGUAAUGAUGAUCUAAAAUGCCAUGCAGGUCACUAUUGGUGCUGCUGCUGCUGUGGUUGUUGGAGGUGUUGCUGUUGCAUCUGGCGGAGCUGCCGUUGGGGCCCCAAAAGGUAACCUUCAUCAGCCACAACCCCACAACAAUGGCUCAAGGUUUUGUGCCCCAUCACCCCUCUUUCUAAAUUACUGAAAUAAACCAAGAUCUCAUAUAUUUAGGAAUAGAGGUAGUAGUAAGGUUAAAAUAGAACAGCAAGGGAUGUUUCUAAUUUGGUUAUGCUAGAAUAAUGCAUCAACUCGUGGUAUUCUUGGAUGUUACUCUAAGGUGUCAAAAUGAUAGUAAAACCUAGGCUCUUGCAUGGUUCUUGAAUUAAUUUUUCUAUUUUAGUGCUAACAAAUAUUGCCUAUGUUGAGACUCUAAACAUGUGGAUGUUCCUCUCAUUUACAGGAAUUCUACCCGAAGAAAUUCGGAGAAAGCUUGAAGCCCUAGUUAGCGACUUGCUUUAUAUGUUAUUGACUUGUAAUGCUAAAUUUGUUGAGAAUUUUGAUGUACUAUUGCACAUGUUACUCGAAUGCUGGUAGUUAUGUACAUAUACUCACUAUAUCAUCCGUUGUUUACUUGAAAU
RNAcentral lists this long non-coding RNA (1368 nucleotides) under Triticum aestivum (bread wheat). RNAcentral describes it as "long non-coding RNA (TAES_LNC003901)". Lineage: Eukaryota; Viridiplantae; Streptophyta; Magnoliopsida; Poales; Poaceae. The record is from RNAcentral.